Aquila chrysaetos chrysaetos is the source of this 174-nucleotide long non-coding RNA. RefSeq lists it as uncharacterized. The transcript has 3 exons. The record is from RefSeq and is a predicted model, not a curated record. NCBI's taxonomy places the organism in Eukaryota, Metazoa, Chordata, Aves, Accipitriformes, Accipitridae.
AGAUGAAGCCAGAACUGAAACAGGGAAGACUAGAUUGGUGGAGAGGCAGCAUACAGCCCUUAUGCUCUUGGUGAAUUGCAUCUGUAGUAGAUGGAGAACUGGUAGAAAAAUGGCUGGAGUAGUUAUGAAAGACUGAUUAUUAACAUUCACUCCAAAGCUGGGUUUGCAGAUGUG